Molecule: ribosomal RNA, 826 nt
Filed under: uncultured Skeletonema
Lineage: Eukaryota; Bacillariophyta; Thalassiosirophyceae; Thalassiosirales; Thalassiosiraceae
Description: bacterial SSU rRNA
Rfam family: Bacterial small subunit ribosomal RNA
Source: RNAcentral
GAUGAACGCUGGCGGUAUGCCUUACACAUGCAAGUUGUACGAGAGUUUUUAACUCAAGUAGCGGACGGGUGAGUAACACGUGAGAAUUUGCCUUCAGGAGGGGGACAACAACUGGAAACGGUUGCUAAUACCCCAAUGCUUUCGAGUGAAAUGAAUUUAUUCGCCUGAAGAGAAGCUCGCGGCUGAUUAGCUUGUUGGUGGGGUAAGAGCCUACCAAGGCGACGAUCAGUAUCUGGUUUGAGAGGACGAUCAGACACACUGGAACUGAGACACGGUCCAGACUCCUACGGGUGGCAGCAGUGGGGAAUUUUCCGCAAUGGGCGAAAGCCUGACGGAGCAAUACCGCGUGAGGGAAGACGGCCUAUGGGUUGUAAACCUCUUUUUUCAGGGAGGAAUCAAUGACGUGUACCUGAAGAAUAAGCAUCGGCUAACUCCGUGCCAGCAGCCGCGGUAAGACGGAGGAUGCAAGUGUUAUCCGGAAUCACUGGGCGUAAAGCGUCUGUAGGUGGUUGAACAAGUCAACUGUUAAAUCUUGAGGCUCAACUUCAAAAUCGCAGUCGAAACUGUUUGACUAGAGUAUAGUAGGGGUAAAGGGAAUUUCCAGUGGAGCGGUGAAAUGCGUAGAUAUUGGAAAGAACACCGAUGGCGAAGGCACUUUACUGGGCUAUUACUGACACUCAGAGACGAAAGCUAGGGUAGCAAAUGGGAUUAGAUACCCCAGUAGUCCUAGCCGUAAACAAUGGAUACUAGUUGUUGAACAGAUCGACCUGUGCAGUAUCAAAGCUAACGCGUUAAGUAUCCCGCCUGGGAAGAUGCUCGCAAGAGU